This 115-nucleotide ribosomal RNA is filed under the name uncultured archaeon. RNAcentral describes it as "partial 16S ribosomal RNA". The record is from RNAcentral.
ACUUAUCGGCACGCGAAGGGGCCCCGAGUGCCCCGCAUGCUGGGUGUCGUUAUUUGUAAAUAACUGGCGAAGAAAGGGCCGGGGGGACCGGUGCCAGCAGCCGCCGUAAUAAUAA